RNAcentral lists this ribosomal RNA (253 nucleotides) under uncultured bacterium. RNAcentral's name for it is "partial 16S ribosomal RNA". It matches the Rfam family "Bacterial small subunit ribosomal RNA", at positions 524 to 776 of the family's 1533-position model. The record is from RNAcentral.
UACGUAGGUGGCGAGCGUUAUUCGGAUUCACUGGGCGUAAAGGGUCCGUAGGGGGUCUGCCAAGUCUGAUGUGAAAUCCCGCGGCUCAACUGCGGAACGGCAUUGGAUACUGGCGGGCUGGAGUCUGCGAGGGGUGAGCGGAAUUCCUGGUGUAGCGGUGGAAUGCGUAGAUAUCAGGAAGAACACCGAUGGCGAAGGCGGCUCACUGGCGCAGUACUGACCCUGAGGGACGAAAGCGUGGGGAGCAAACAGG